UGAAAGACGCGCAUUUGUUAUCAUCAUCCCUUAUUCAGAGAUGUAUAUUUUGGCCACACUGAUUGUGGCCUUUUUC
Molecule: small RNA, 76 nt
Filed under: Buttiauxella sp. BIGb0552
Lineage: Bacteria; Pseudomonadati; Pseudomonadota; Gammaproteobacteria; Enterobacterales; Enterobacteriaceae
Description: SraD RNA
Rfam family: MicA sRNA
Source: RNAcentral